GGAUGUGAAGGCCAUCUGGCUGUGGCAUCUCUCACACCACUGGUCUCCAGGGUUGAUUCACUUGGCCUGGUUGGCCGUGUGGGUGUCCCCCUCUUCCCUCACUGUUCUGUGUGCCAUGUGCAUCCCCCCAAAGUUGCACACUUGGGCAGAGUGGACCACCUUCCUUGAUAGAGGAGGGCCGGGAUUCAGUCAGGGGUAUAUGAGUAGUUGUGCUCCGUUGCUAGUACCUUCAAACAAGCUCUCAAAGUACAAGAGACCAAAGCCCUCACCACCAGAGAAUCGUAAAAUAGUAGGUUGAAUCCAAGGAUAAAAACUAGAGAUU
Mustela putorius furo (domestic ferret) is the source of this 322-nucleotide unclassified non-coding RNA. Its record names the gene 7SK. It matches the Rfam family "7SK RNA". From Rfam's summary of the family: 7SK was discovered as an abundant small nuclear RNA in the mid-70s but a possible function has only recently been suggested. Two independent studies have found that 7SK RNA binds the CDK9/cyclin T complex (known as elongation factor P-TEFb). The record is from Ensembl. Lineage: Eukaryota; Metazoa; Chordata; Mammalia; Carnivora; Mustelidae.